AGCGUUUGUAGUCCAACGGUUAGGAUAAUUGCCUUCCAAGCAAUAGACCCGGGUUCGACUCCCGGCAGACGCAGUUUUUAUCGG
Non-coding RNA from Marchantia paleacea, 84 nucleotides. The record is from the annotation of a GenBank genome assembly. NCBI's taxonomy places the organism in Eukaryota, Viridiplantae, Streptophyta, Marchantiopsida, Marchantiales, Marchantiaceae.